This 408-nucleotide ribosomal RNA is filed under the name uncultured bacterium. RNAcentral's name for it is "bacterial SSU rRNA". It matches the Rfam family "Bacterial small subunit ribosomal RNA", at positions 8 to 442 of the family's 1533-position model. The record is from RNAcentral.
AGAGUUUGAUCCUGGCUCAGAGCGAACGCUGGCGGCAGGCUUAACACAUGCAAGUCGAGCGGGCGUAGCAAUACGUCAGCGGCAGACGGGUGAGUAACGCGUGGGAACGUACCUUUUGGUUCGGAACAACACAGGGAAACUUGUGCUAAUACCGGAUAAGCCCUUACGGGGAAAGAUUUAUCGCCGAAAGAUCGGCCCGCGUCUGAUUAGCUAGUUGGUGAGGUAACGGCUCACCAAGGCGACGAUCAGUAGCUGGUCUGAGAGGAUGAUCAGCCACAUUGGGACUGAGACACGGCCCAAACUCCUACGGGAGGCAGCAGUGGGGAAUAUUGGACAAUGGGCGCAAGCCUGAUCCAGCCAUGCCGCGUGAGUGAUGAAGGCCCUAGGGUUGUAAAGCUCUUUUGUGCG